Molecule: long non-coding RNA, 1475 nt
Filed under: Gallus gallus (chicken)
Lineage: Eukaryota; Metazoa; Chordata; Aves; Galliformes; Phasianidae
Description: lncRNA (ENSGALG00010030026.1)
Source: RNAcentral
GCCUCUUCCGGCCGUGGGGCCGCGUGUGCUGUGUUGGUCUCCGUCUGCGGGUCCGUUUGUCGGCGCACGGACGGGAGCGGUUUUGUUUCGGGUACUCCAUCCGCAGCUCUUCAUUUGGUAACGGUCUGUCCAAGGACUCAGUUUGGAAGAUGAUAGGAGAUGGCUGAAGGUGUACUGUGAAGCCUUUUGCUGUGGUCUGACUGUACAGAUCCCAGAACCCAUUCCAGCUGCAGAUACAGUGUGUGCUUCUCAAGUAAAUGGGCACACUGGGAGCCUACAGACUUACUCAGGGGGCCUCUUGCAGUACCUGUAGAAGAAAAGACCAGGAGAUGCUUUGUGUCCUGUGGGGAUAGCUGUGCUACACCUCUAUCCAGCUGAGCCUUGGAACUUCCUCUUUGGACAAACUUCUUUGACAGAAGCUGUGCUGUUGGCACCUUGCUGCAGAGCUCUCUCGCUGCUCACCCACCUGCAUCCUGGUGCCAUCACCCGCUGCCCUGCAGAUCUUGUACAGCAGGGUAUGAAUGCCAGUACCACAUCUUCAGAGCUGUUAUCAGCUGUUCUCACGGCCUCCCGAGGCUGAGGUGUCAGGAGCAGAGUGCUGCUGCCAGGGCAGCCUGCUGGGUUUGCCUCUGCCUGGGAAGUGCCAUGGGAAUUGGCGGCCGGGAGCACGAGCCCUGCCUGGGAGCUGCUACCUCACUCAUGAGAUUUGAUUACACCAUCGGUGUGUACCACCCAGCCUGUUUUAAUGUCCCUGCACGGUGAAUUUCACAAGCCCUGGGUUAGUUUUUGUUUCAGCUGUUGCUGUAGAUACUGUCGCUUCUGUCUCUGCACGGCUUCUUGUUUUUCUCAUCUUUCUACGGUCUUACUAAAGAACUAAGGGAGCAUGCAAGUUUAGGGUUUCAAAAGGAAGCUGUGGUCUGAGACGUGCAAAGAAAUGUCAGCGGUAGAGUUAUACUUGUGGUUAGAAACAAACUGUUUAUUUGUUUUGCUAACAAGAAGCAGGUGUUGCCGGGGCACCUGGGGAGAGAGGCAGGGGGGUUCUGCUGCACACAGGGGCUGAAGACCUCCUAGGUAGCAUUAACUCCACUUUUAUUAAGAGCGUGGAGCAGAAUGCAGUGAUGAGAAAAUGACUCUGAAGUCUUUGGUCUUACAGCAUUCAGGUUAAAAUGUUUCAGCUUUCUCAUUUUGUGUUGUUUGUUUAUGGUGAAGGCCUUACUGUCAUGGGCAGGGCCCAGCACAGCCAUCGAGGCUUCUUCCUCAAAGUCCCAAAGCGUUCAAGAAGAGCCACAGGUGGUUCCCAGCACGUUUUGAUGUGGUGUAAGACUAAAGCAUAGAGAAAAAGCAGGCAAAAGAAGUGUAGAGCAUACACAGGAAAGCUCAGGUAUUUAAAGGGUUACUUUCCAUCAUUUACUACGAACUAUUUUAAAAUUUACUGCGUGAUGAGAAUCUACCAGUGCAUUAAAAAUUCUUCUCUG